Molecule: non-coding RNA, 27 nt
Filed under: Rattus norvegicus (Norway rat)
Lineage: Eukaryota; Metazoa; Chordata; Mammalia; Rodentia; Muridae
Source: RNAcentral
UAUUGAGGUUGUGAUGUACCGUCCCAU